CAGGUAGCUGCAUGGCUGUCGUCAGCUCGUGUCGUGAGAUGUUCGGUUUAAGUCCGCUAACGAGCGCAACCCUCGCUGUGUGUUACAAGUGUCACACGGAACUGCCGGUCAUAAACCGGAGGAAGGUGGGGAGUGACGUCAAGUCCCAGCAUGGCCUUUAUAUCCUGGGCUGCACACACGCUACAAUGGGAAGGGACAAUAGGUUGCGAAACCGCGAGGUGGAGCCAAUCCAGCAAAACUUCCCUCAGUUCAGAUUGCAGGCUGCAACUCGCCUGCAUGAAGUUGGAGUUGCUAGUAAACGCAGGUCAGCCAUACUGCGUUGAAUGCGUUCCCGGGGCUU
RNAcentral lists this ribosomal RNA (340 nucleotides) under uncultured Anaerolineaceae bacterium. RNAcentral describes it as "bacterial SSU rRNA". It matches the Rfam family "Bacterial small subunit ribosomal RNA", at positions 1035 to 1382 of the family's 1533-position model. Lineage: Bacteria; Bacillati; Chloroflexota; Anaerolineae; Anaerolineales; Anaerolineaceae. The record is from RNAcentral.